GCCAGGUGUGGUGGCGCAUGCCUGUAGUCCCAGCUACUCAGGAGGCUGAGGCGGGAGGAUCGCUUGAGGCCAGGAGUUCUGGGCUGCAGUGCACUAUGUUGCCUGGGCGUCUGCGCUAAGUUCAGCAUCAAUAUGAUAACCUCCCGGGAGCAGGGGACCACCAGAUUGCCUAAGAAGGGGUAAACUGGCCACGGUUGGAAACAGAGCAGGUCAAAACUCCCGUGCUGACCAGUAGUGGGAUGGUGCCUGUGAAUAGCCACUGUACUCCAGCCUGGGCAACACAGCAAGACCCCAUCUCUA
RNAcentral lists this signal recognition particle RNA (300 nucleotides) under Nomascus leucogenys (northern white-cheeked gibbon). Its description in RNAcentral is "Metazoan signal recognition particle RNA". It matches the Rfam family "Metazoan signal recognition particle RNA". From Rfam's summary of the family: The signal recognition particle (SRP) is a universally conserved ribonucleoprotein. It is involved in the co-translational targeting of proteins to membranes. Lineage: Eukaryota; Metazoa; Chordata; Mammalia; Primates; Hylobatidae. The record is from Rfam by way of RNAcentral.